RNAcentral lists this ribosomal RNA (303 nucleotides) under uncultured bacterium. Its description in RNAcentral is "partial 16S ribosomal RNA". It matches the Rfam family "Bacterial small subunit ribosomal RNA", at positions 507 to 809 of the family's 1533-position model. The record is from RNAcentral.
AGCAGCCGCCACGGUAAUACGUAGGGUGCAAGCGUUAAUCGGAAUUACUGGGCGUAAAGCGUGCGCAGGCGGUUUGUUAAGACAGAUGUGAAAUCCCCGGGCUCAACCUGGGAACUGCAUUUGUGACUGGCAAGCUAGAGUAUGGCAGAGGGGGGUGGAAUUCCGCGUGUAGCAGUGAAAUGCGUAGAUAUGCGGAGGAACACCGAUGGCGAAGGCAGCCCCCUGGGCCAAUACUGACGCUCAUGCACGAAAGCGUGGGGAGCAAACAGGAUUAGAUACCCCUGUAGUCCCUGUCUCUUAUAU